CAGAUUGAACGCUGGCGGCAGGCCUAACGCAUGCAAGUCGAACGGUAACAGAAAGCAGCUUGCUGCUUUGCUGACGAGUGGCGGACGGGUGAGUAAUGUCUGGGAAACUGCCUGAUGGAGGGGGAUAACUACUGGAAACGGUAGCUAAUACCGCAUAACGUCGCAAGACCAAAGAGGGGGACCUUCGGGCCUCUUGCCAUCGGAUGUGCCCAGAUGGGAUUAGCUUGUUGGUGGGGUAACGGCUCACCAAGGCGACGAUCUCUAGCUGGUCUGAGAGGAUGACCAGCCACACUGGAACUGAGACACGGUCCAGACUCCUACGGGAGGCAGCAGUGGGGAAUAUUGCACAAUGGGCGCAAGCCUGAUGCAGCCAUGCCGCGUGUAUGAAGAAGGCCUUCGGGUUGUAAAGUACUUUCAGCGGGGAGGAAGGGAGUAAAGUUAAUACCUUUGCUCAUUGACGUUACCCGCAGAAGAAGCACCGGCUAACUCCGUGCCAGCAGCCGCGGUAAUACGG
Molecule: ribosomal RNA, 514 nt
Filed under: uncultured bacterium
Lineage: Bacteria
Description: bacterial SSU rRNA
Rfam family: Bacterial small subunit ribosomal RNA
Source: RNAcentral